RNAcentral lists this ribosomal RNA (952 nucleotides) under uncultured bacterium. RNAcentral describes it as "bacterial SSU rRNA". It matches the Rfam family "Bacterial small subunit ribosomal RNA", at positions 361 to 1315 of the family's 1533-position model. The record is from RNAcentral.
AUAUUGGUCAAUGGGCGAGAGCCUGAACCAGCCAAGUAGCGUGCAGGAUGACGGCCCUAUGGGUUGUAAACUGCUUUUAUAAGGGAAUAAAGUUAGUCUCGUGAGACUUUUUGCAUGUACCUUAUGAAUAAGGACCGGCUAAUUCCGUGCCAGCAGCCGCGGUAAUACGGAAGGUCCGGGCGUUAUCCGGAUUUAUUGGGUUUAAAGGGAGCGUAGGCCGGAGAUUAAGCGUGUUGUGAAAUGUAGACGCUCAACGUCUGCACUGCAGCGCGAACUGGUUUCCUUGAGUACGCACAAAGUGGGCGGAAUUCGUGGUGUAGCGGUGAAAUGCUUAGAUAUCACGAAGAACUCCGAUUGCGAAGGCAGCUCACUGGAGCGCAACUGACGCUGAAGCUCGAAAGUGCGGGUAUCGAACAGGAUUAGAUACCCUGGUAGUCCGCACGGUAAACGAUGGAUGCCCGCUGUUGGUCUGAACAGGUCAGCGGCCAAGCGAAAGCAUUAAGCAUCCCACCUGGGGAGUACGCCGGCAACGGUGAAACUCAAAGGAAUUGACGGGGGCCCGCACAAGCGGAGGAACAUGUGGUUUAAUUCGAUGAUACGCGAGGAACCUUACCCGGGCUUGAAUUGCAGAGGAAGGAUUUGGAGACAAUGACGCCCUUCGGGGCCUCUGUGAAGGUGCUGCAUGGUUGUCGUCAGCUCGUGCCGUGAGGUGUCGGCUUAAGUGCCAUAACGAGCGCAACCCCUCUCCUUAGUUGCCAUCAGGUCAUGCUGGGCACUCUGGGGACACUGCCACCGUAAGGUGUGAGGAAGGUGGGGAUGACGUCAAAUCAGCACGGCCCUUACGUCCGGGGCUACACACGUGUUACAAUGGCAGGUACAGAGAGACGGUCCCUUGCAAAAUGGAUCAAAUCCUUAAAGCCUGUCUCAGUUCGGACUGGGGUCUGCAACCCGA